UCAAUCUCUCUCUCUAUUGUCCUCCUUUCUCUCUCACCACCAUUAUUCUGUCUUACAUUUUCGCUAUGAAUAUAAUGUAUACGAACCCUAAGGAGGCAAUCGAUUCACCUUUUAAUUUAAUCUCAGUGUGUUGCAAAACCAAUGAGUUGAGUGUAGGAUAACAUGGAGUAGGGGUUGGAGCUCAACAUCGUACGAUUGUCACCGUGAAUUUGGUUUGUAAUUUGUUAAGAUCUGACUGCUGGUUUCUUUUCCUUUUAUGAGGUAAGUUAACUGCUACUUUAUGGAUUUAUUAUGUUUAGGUUUUUUUUUUUUGUUUUUUUUUUUAAAUUUGAGGGUUUUGGUGACAAUGCAGUUGUUUCUUUUUUGUUGAUUUUGAGUAUUUUGUGGUUAUUGUGGAGCAAUGCCUAGACUGCUUGAUCGAUUCGCCAGGCCUUGUAAGUGUAUGACUUUUUAAUUACUUUGUUGAAUUGUGAAUUGUUGUUAUGUUGAUGUGAAUUGUGUGUGGUUUAAUUGGAUUUGUGUUGGGUUAUUUGGGUUAAAAAUUAGAGUUUUGCUUUGUUGGUGUUUAACUAUUUGGAAAGGUAUGAUAUUAUUCAAGAGAAACUAUAAAUUACUUCAUACUUGUCUGUGAGUGCUUGGUUGGUGUUUAACUAAUAGAUAGAUAAAUGAUGAAUUUUGACACCUUUUAGAGAGUUAUAGAUCAGGAGAUUAUUUGAAUUUGUAUGGGUUAGGGUUUUGAAUUUACUUUUUUGAAACUGUAGAAAAGGUUACUUUCAAGGGCCACCAUUAGACCACCCGUAAUGGAACCCCUCGCCGGCGUGAUCCCCCCCAAAAGACGCCCAAAAACUCCACCCUGGCCGGCGUGAUCCGGCAAAAUCCCCCCGCAAGCGUUUUUUGAAACACGCUUGGAUCAAGUUGCUUUGGCCAAUCAAAGCUUAUCUUCCUUUUUCAUUUAUUUAAUCUUCCAAUAGUUUUUUUUUUGGUUUUUUUAUUUUUAUUUAAUUCUUUACACCCUUUUAUCAUAAUGCCCACAUCCUCACUAGACCCAUUUUAGAAAAACGCCCAAUAAUGCCCCUUGCUGACUGGGCUGCCACAUGGCGCAAAACGCCCAAGGGUGGAUCUUGCCCACUACGCAUGGUCUUAGAGUGGUUAUAGCUGGAAGGGCUUAUGCCAUCAAUGAUGAUGAAGUGACAUUCAGGUGCUUAAUUUGAUGAUUUUUUGGAAUGAAUUGAUUGUUAGAUAAUAUGACAUGAUUUGUUCUAUUUUUUUUAGAGGUGAUAGCUUUUGGGAUGAUGGGUAUGAUGUACAACAAAGGGUGCAAGUUUAUUCAAGUUUGUCAAGAGUUAUUAAAGUAGGUGGGAUGGGCAACUUUUAUGUUUUUUUCGGAGAUUAACUGGAAACGAUCAUGCAAACUUUUUUGUAUGUCAAUAGCAUACUUAACCACUAAUAAGAAUUAUCAUUGUUUUAAGUUGAUCGGAAGGUUAGCGGGCCAGUCUACUACUUUGGGCUUGUAGGUAUUUUUGUAUUUUUCAAGGUUGCUUAUUUUGUGCAGCGGUUCAAGAUAUCCGCGAUAAAAUCUCAGGUGGGGUAGAAGCAUUUUCUAGAAGAAAUUUGUUAGGGGUGCCCGACAAAGUUCGUGAAACAAGAUUUCUGAUCAUGUACCAUCAUCAAAAGAUGUGAUGCGAUCCAAGAACUUGCAGGAAAGAAUGAUAGAAACUACAUUCAAGUAGCAGUUUUGCCAUAUUAUCAAAUUGACGCCUAUGUUUGCACCGCUACCAUACCAGGAAUAGGGUUCUGGCGACCCUUCAGUUUUCCGAUGAAGUUUUGGUCAAGCUUUGUUCUUCGGCGAGUUUUCUGCCCAGGAUAACACCGGCGUGGUGGUUUUGACUGAUACAUUACUGAUCUCGAGCAUGUUGUUUUCCUUAUGAGACAUGCCUGUAUGUUUUUGUAAUUCAACUUGAUUGAUGUUUUUUAAUUUUUGAAAUGUCAAAGGUUUGACAUGGUUAAUGU
Molecule: long non-coding RNA, 2010 nt
Filed under: Helianthus annuus (common sunflower)
Lineage: Eukaryota; Viridiplantae; Streptophyta; Magnoliopsida; Asterales; Asteraceae
Description: hypothetical non coding rna
Source: RNAcentral